This 364-nucleotide ribosomal RNA is filed under the name uncultured soil bacterium. Its description in RNAcentral is "bacterial SSU rRNA". It matches the Rfam family "Bacterial small subunit ribosomal RNA", at positions 26 to 419 of the family's 1533-position model. The record is from RNAcentral.
AGAACGAACGCUGGCGGCAUGCCUAAUACAUGCAAGUCGAACGAACUCUUCGGAGUUAGUGGCGCACGGGUGCGUAACGCGUGGGAAUCUGCCCUUGGGUUCGGAAUAACAGUUGGAAACGACUGCUAAUACCGGAUGAUGACGAAAGUCCAAAGAUUUAUCGCCCAGGGAUGAGCCCGCGUAGGAUUAGCUAGUUGGUGAGGUAAAGGCUCACCAAGGCGACGAUCCUUAGCUGGUCUGAGAGGAUGAUCAGCCACACUGGGACUGAGACACGGCCCAGACUCCUACGGGAGCAGCAGUAGGGAAUAUUGGACAAUGGGCGAAAGCCUGAUCCAGCAAUGCCGCGUGAGUGAUGAAGGCCUUA